UUACCUGCAAGUCGAACGAUGAACCACUUCGGUGGGGAUUAGUGGCGAACGGGUGAGUAACACGUGGGCAAUCUGCCCUGCACUCUGGGACAAGCCCUGGAAACGGGGUCUAAUACCGGAUACUGACCAUCACGGGCAUCCGUGGUGUUCGAAAGCUCCGGCGGUGCAGGAUGAGCCCGCGGCCUAUCAGCUAGUUGGUGAGGUAAUGGCUCACCAAGGCGACGACGGGUAGCCGGCCUGAGAGGGCGACCGGCCACACUGGGACUGAGACACGGCCCAGACUCCUACGGGAGGCAGCAGUGGGGAAUAUUGCACAAUGGGCGAAAGCCUGAUGCAGCGACGCCGCGUGAGGGAUGACGGCCUUCGGGUUGUAAACCUCUUUCAGCAGGGAAGAAGCGAAAGUGACGGUACCUGCAGAAGAAGCGCCGGCUAACUACGUGCCAGCAGCGGGCGGUAAUUA
This 460-nucleotide ribosomal RNA is filed under the name Streptomyces azureus. RNAcentral describes it as "bacterial SSU rRNA". It matches the Rfam family "Bacterial small subunit ribosomal RNA", at positions 51 to 525 of the family's 1533-position model. Lineage: Bacteria; Bacillati; Actinomycetota; Actinomycetes; Kitasatosporales; Streptomycetaceae. The record is from RNAcentral.